This is a long non-coding RNA of Gorilla gorilla gorilla (western lowland gorilla), 5317 nucleotides long. RefSeq lists it as uncharacterized. The transcript is spliced from 2 exons. The record is from RefSeq and is a predicted model, not a curated record. Lineage: Eukaryota; Metazoa; Chordata; Mammalia; Primates; Hominidae.
AGCUGUACCCUCUCUCUCUCAGUGCUCUGAGAGUGUAGGCUCCUUUCCCACUCAAGUGCUGGCUGCAGAUCUGGGUUUGGCACUCCUGGACGUCAUACUGCAGCCCCGGGUCCAAGGACAUCGAGCACAGUACCUUUGCAGUGGCAGUGUCAGAGGGACUUUCAGUUGUCUCUGGGAGCCCCACCUCACAGAAAUGCAGAGCGUCUGCUAAUGCAAGUGUUCAGCCAGAGGGUGAGGUAGCUGUGCCAUGGGCCUGAGCUGGGAGCUCUUCUUGGUGAAGAGUAAAGGGUCAGGGACUCACACGAAAGGGAGACUGAGUUCCUCUCCGUAUGGUGACUGUGGCAUGCUAGAGACAUGAGUAAUGCCCUCAGGCUCUUUGUUCCUUCCCCAGUCCAAAGACAACAAGGUCAAAACCACUGCAGUGGCAGUGGUAAAGGGGCUGUCUGUUGCCACUGGGAACUCCACCCCAGGGAAACACAGAGCCACUGCCAGUGGGAAUGCUUAGUUGGGGGUGGCAUAGCUGCCCUGUAGUCCCAAGCCAGGGGCCUUGCCUGUUGAAGAGUAGGGAGUGAGGCCUCACAGGGAAGACAGACUGGGCUCCUCCCCAUAUGGUGGCUGUGGUGUGCUGGUGGUGCCAGCAAUGCGACCUGGACCUUUGUUCCUUCCCCAGCCCAAAGGCAGUAAGGGCAGUACCACUGCAGCUGCAAUGAGAGGGGCUGUGGGUUGUCUCUGUGAUUUCCUCCCUAGAGAAUGACAGAGCUGCCACUGACUUAAACGUUUGGGCGGGAACAAGGUGGUUGUUCUGGGGGCCCGGGUUGAGAGACCCUGCCCACUGAGGAGUAACAGGGCCAGGGCCCAUGUGGAAGAGGGUCUGCCUUCUUAUCUAAAAAGUAGCUGCACUGUGCUGGAGGAUUGCAUUAGUCCUAAGUCUUUUGGCUCCCUCCUGAGCCUGAGAGAAACAGGAGCAGGAGCUGCAGAGCAGCAAAAAUGGCAGACCUGCCUGCUACAGUUGAGAGCUCUGUCCCAGGGAAGUACAGAUCCCCCAGGGGGAUCUGCUACUGGCCCAAGAGCCCAGACAUGGGUGGGGUGGCUGGAGUCCCAAGUCUGGAGGCCCUGCCCAGUAAGAAGUAGUGGGGACAGAGAUCUAUGUGGAAAAAAGUCUGGCCACUUUUCUGUAAGGCAGCUGUGCUGUGCUGGGGGCCUGCAUUAGUCCUUAAUCACCCUGCCAAGACUGGGGGACCCGUCUGCUACCACUGAGAGCUCCAUUCCAGGGAAAUACAGGGCUGCUAUUGGCCCUAGAGCUCAAGUGAGGCUGGAGUGGCCAUGCUAGGGACCCAGCCCAGUGGGCAUUAUCCAGCAAGGUGCAAUGGAGGUGAGGCCUGCAGUCCAUCUGCUCCUCAGCCCCGUGGAUUUAGCCCCUAUACUGGAGGCAUUCCAGGGAGCCUGACCUCUCUUGUUGCCAGAGCUACAGCCACUGGUGCUGGGGUGCCCAGCAGUCCAAGGGCCCUGGAGCUCCAUGUGUGCCUGAGCAGUGGCUCUGCCUAGACUCCAUGUAGCUCUCCAUGUCAGUCUGCAGGCUCUGCUCAGGGAGGCAGGGGGAUCUUCUGAGCACAGGGUUGUGAAGAUCUGUAGCAGAAGCUUUAGUGAAAUUUCAGACAUUAACAACAAAGUUUCCCUGAUUUAUUUAACUUCUCCUAACUUUCUAUAACCUGAUAUAAAAUGGACAUUUAAUUAUAAAUUACUUGAGUAAAGGUUAAGAUUAAUGAAAAUACUACUCAAGUAACUUAUAAUUAAAUGCCCAUUAUCAUCAUCAGCAUCAUCAUCUAAAGGGGUUAUUGAGUAGGCGUCCAUGGGGUGGUGUGAAAUGACCAGCCCCUAAGCCUUGGUGGCCCAUUAUCUACAGAAGAUAUCACUGGGCACAUUAAAUGUUCCCCAACCUGCUUUCGUUAUCCAAAGGAGCCUUAUUAGACAUGUUUUUCCUCCUUAUUAGUCCCUUCUUGCCUGAAAUGUGAAAUUUUAAUACCACAGAUAUAGUGUUAACUGUUUAUAUAUUUUGGUCCUAUGUAGUGCCACAAACCAUUUUAAUGUCUACUAUCUCCCUACCCUUAAAAACCAAUUCUCAGCCCCUUGGGGGCAAUAUAUCCUCUGUUGAAAAUGCAUGGAACAUUUUAAAGAGGACAAAAGCUGGAACCUCAUUCCUGCCUUUUACUUGAUGUGUGACACUGGAAAACUUCCUUAACCUCUGUCAGCUUGCCCAUGGUCAUCCAGAAAAGGGAACCACUGAGAGCUCAUGAUGCGUUACUUACAGAACUGUCCUGUGGGGUAAAUGAGAAAUCCUAUACAGAGAAGAUGGCACCUAGAGAAAUCCUAUACAGAGAAGAUAGCACCUAGUCUUCAACAUUUGUUGAAGCAUAUGCAUGCUUGUGUAGUUGCUUCUUUCACCUAACAACAGAGCCUUGUUGUUGUUAAACAACAAGGUGGGCCAUCCUGGCCCACUUUUCUUCUCCUUCCCAGAGAAGUGAUGACUGUCAUCUAAACCAAACAGCAUAACUACCACAGAGACCAGCUGGUAAUGGAGCAGGAAGAAGUAGCAUAUACUUACAUUCAGUUUAUAAAUGAAGCUUUGGGGCUAUUUCUGUGAUGCAGGAUGGCUUUGCCAAGGAAUGUGGGAAGAGGGAAAAGAUCAUCAAACCAUUUCUUUAAUUCUGUGUCAUUUUUGCCCCAUUAUUUGAGCUUCUAUACUGAUAUUGGAAAAAUAGUUUCCUAUGGAGUCUCAAAUAAAGAAAGAGUGCAGAUAAAGAGGAGAGAGAAGUCACAUGCCCUUGACCCUCAUACUAUUACCACCUACAGGACUCUGAACCAGAAUUUCAUCUGCACCAGUGGGUAAUUCAAAGUGGGAGGAGUUGUUGAAUGUGUAUCCAUGAGGGCACAAUACUACAAACGUGUAAAACUACUAGGUUUUAAAUCCUAGAAUGUCAUGGUGUAUAAAAUAUUGAUAAUUAUUGCUUUGGUUUUGAAUUAGGGGAAAAUAUAUCCUCGUAUACUUGGAAGCGGCUCCCUCAGUAUCUUUUAUUCUGGAGCUUCAGGGAUAUUCUUCAUUCUAAAUGUAUAUCUCUUUCCUGUGGGUGGGGUCAGGAAUGCUUGAAUGUUCCUGACAAUGUUUUUGUAUAAUUGCAGGAGCAUUUGAUAUUUAUUACAGUUAUAAAUACAUAAGAAAUGAAAUAAACAGCAUUACUCUAAAACAAAAGAGAAUACCUGCUCUCAAAAUAUCUUGAGAGCAUUUCAAAGAGAAUACCUGCUAAUGCUUAUAUCUGUAUAAUAUUCUUUCACAAAUUUUCUUAUGCAGGUACUUAUAAAUUUAUGCAGAAAUGAAUACAUUUAUAUACUUAUCUACAAAAUAUAAGAUCUCAUUCUACAUUUAGUUUUAUAACCUGCUUGUCUCACUAAAACCAUACCUCAAAGGUCAUUGGUUGUGAGUAAAUAUGAGUCUUUACCACAGAGAUAGUAAAUACUAAUGGCCAAUAAAGACAGAGAAACAAAUAUGACUACAAUAUGUUAUGUGCCAAGUGCUUUUUAGCUAUUGAGUCGUUCAAUUCUCACGGCACCCUUACAAGGUUGAAACUGUUGCUGAUCUCCAUUUUGUAGAUGGAAAACUAAGGAGCAGAUAGAAUAAAAAUUUUACCUGAGACUGCACAGUCAGGGAGUGGGACAGCUUGGAUUUAUGUUCAGUACAUCAUGCUCCAGAGCCUGGGAAACUGUCAAGGCUCUGUUGUUAGGUGAAAGAAGCAACUACACAAGCAUGCAUAUUUUAGGAGCUCAUUAAAAGUAAUACGUCACAGGUUAAUACAUUUACACAAAAAACUGGACCUAGUGACAAAUAGGUGGAUUGCAACCUUGGUAAGAUCAUGUUCAUUGCAAUCCUGGGGACAGAAGCCACAGUGCAGGGGGAAGUGAAGAAUUUUAACAGGAAAUGUAGAAAACUCUCUUUGGUAGUUUAACUUUGAAGGGAAAGAGAUGGAGAUUCUGGCUGAAUGGGGAGAUUUUAAAAAAUAAUCAAUUUCUUGAAACUUGAGAAGGUUUUAAAAUGAAGAUACUUAGGGGUUUUGCUAAAUGAGAAGAUUUUAGCUGUUCUUGCCAUGCACAAAAAAAUGGGUAACUAUGUGGUAUUAUGAAUAUAUUUAUUUUCUUCACUAUAUAGUAACUAAUACUUUACUUUCUGUAUGUAUCUUAGAACAUCAUGUUGCAUAUCUUAAAUAUAGACGAUAAAUGUAUUUUUAAAAGUUAACGUGAUGAAGCUAUCUUAUCUCAGAUUUAACACUAGAAAUUGCUCGUUUUUUUUUUUUUUUUUUUUUUUUUUUUUGGCUGGAGUACAGUGUCGCGAUCAUGGUUCACUGCAGCUUCAACCUCCUGGGGCUCCUGUGAUCCUCCCAGCUCAGCUUCCCGAGUAGCUGGGACCACAGGUGCAUAUCAACACACCCAGUUAAUUUUUUUUGUUGUUUAUUUUUGUAGAGACGGGAGUCUUUUUAGGUUGCCCAGGCUGGUCUCGGACUCCUGGGCCCAAGUGAUCCUCCCAUCUUGACCUCUUAAUGUGCUGGGAUUAUAGGUGUGAGCCACUUCACCCAGCACAUUUCCUUUCUUACGCUCUUAUUUUCACUUUAGAGCUCAUGAGAGGCCUCUAAUCGACUAGUAUGAGUUUUGAGCUAAAUACAUAUUUAGUUAUUAGUGAGAAAAUGGACAAUGGGCAAUUGUGAGUCAAAUAAAUGCUAAAUUUUUGCCUCUCCAAGAAGGCAGCAGGUGGCUGAAAUCCUGGUGUGAUAUGGCUGAAUAAUGCAUGAUCUGAGGACCCUGUACUGGUUACUCCUGUACACGUUCACAAUUUUUCUAUAAAUGUAUUAAUAUACUGAGCAGUCCAGGAGCAGCCAUUAGGCAAACACCACUCCUUGCUUCCUUCAUGUGACCUAUCACUGAGCUCACCAGCUGAGGUCAAUUACAUUCUUCCCAACCUGGAGAACAGAAUUUGGGUCUGCUCAGAGGCAUGAUGUGAAACAUGUCUGGGAUAAAAGCUUUGUUCUAUUGACAGCAAACCUUUUUGGGUUAAGGGGUAGGGGAAGAGCAAGUGAAGGAUGCAGAUUAGUUUCUAUUUAGGAAUAUACUUUUAUAUAUUGUUUGAAAUUUUGUCAUAAAAAUAUUCAUACAAAUUUAAGCAAAAAAUUACUUGUGAACAGAUUGACAAAUGUCAUGUGCACACAUAUUUAUUAAUUUGAAAAAGCAUUCACUGUGUUAAAUUUAUGGUGAAAUAAAGUUGAUUAAACUUUGA